AUACGGAGGGUGCAAGCGUUAUUCGGAAUCACUGGGCGUAAAGGACGCGUAGGCGGGUUGGCAAGUCAGAUGUGAAAUCCUACAGCUUAACUGUAGAACUGCAUUUGAAACUGCUAACCUAGAGUAUGGGAGGGGGAGAUGGAAUUAGUGGUGCAGGGGUAAAAUCCGUAGAUAUCACUAUGAAUACCGAAAGCGAAGGCGAUCUCCUGGAACAUAACUGACGCUAAGGCGUGAAAGCGUGGGGAGCAAACAGGAUUAGAAACCCUAGUAGUCC
RNAcentral lists this ribosomal RNA (274 nucleotides) under uncultured bacterium. RNAcentral's name for it is "partial 16S ribosomal RNA". It matches the Rfam family "Bacterial small subunit ribosomal RNA", at positions 523 to 796 of the family's 1533-position model. The record is from RNAcentral.